UACGGGGGGGGCAAGCGUUGUUCGGAAUUACUGGGCGUAAAGGGCUCGUAGGUGGCCAACUAAGUCAUACGUGAAAUCCCUCGGCUUAACCGGGGAACUGCGUCUGAUACUGGAUGGCUUGAGGUUGGGAGAGGGAUGCGGAAUUCCAGGUGUAGCGGUGAAAUGCGUAGAUAUCUGGAGGAACACCGGUGGCGAAGGCGGCAUCCUGGACCGGUAUUGACGCUGAGGCGCGAAAGCUAGGGGAGCAAACGGG
This 253-nucleotide ribosomal RNA is filed under the name uncultured bacterium. RNAcentral's name for it is "partial 16S ribosomal RNA". It matches the Rfam family "Bacterial small subunit ribosomal RNA", at positions 524 to 776 of the family's 1533-position model. The record is from RNAcentral.